UACGUAGGUGGCAAGCGUUGUCCGGAAUUAUUGGGCGUAAAGCGCGCGCAGGCGGCAGUGUAAGUAAGGUGUGAAAUAUCCCGGCUCAACCGGGAGGGUGCACUUUAGACUACACAGCUUGAGGUCGGUAGAGGGGGGUAGAAUUGCUGGUGUAGCGGUGAAAUGCGUAGAGAUCAGCAGGAAUACCCGUGGCGAAGGCGGCCCCCUGGGCCGUACCUGACGCUGAGGCGCGAAGGCUAGGGGAGCGAACGGG
RNAcentral lists this ribosomal RNA (253 nucleotides) under uncultured bacterium. Its description in RNAcentral is "partial 16S ribosomal RNA". It matches the Rfam family "Bacterial small subunit ribosomal RNA", at positions 524 to 776 of the family's 1533-position model. The record is from RNAcentral.